GACGAACGCUGGCGGCGUGCUUAACACAUGCAAGUCGAACGGAAAGGCCCUGCUUUUGUGGGGUGCUCGAGUGGCGAACGGGUGAGUAACACGUGAGUAACCUGCCCUUGACUUUGGGAUAACUUCAGGAAACUGGGGCUAAUACCGGAUAGGAGCUCCUGCUGCAUGGUGGGGGUUGGAAAGUUUCGGCGGUUGGGGAUGGACUCGCGGCUUAUCAGCUUGUUGGUGGGGUAGUGGCUUACCAAGGCUUUGACGGGUAGCCGGCCUGAGAGGGUGGCCGGCCACAUUGGGACUGAGAUACGGCCCAGACUCCUACGGGAGGCAGCGGUGGGGAAUAUUGCACAAUGGGCGGAAGCCUGAUGCAGCAACGCCGCGUGCGGGAUGACGGCCUUCGGGUUGUAAACCGCUUUCGCCUGUGACGAAGCGUGAGUGACGGUAAUGGAUAAAGAAGCACCGGCUAACUACGUG
Molecule: ribosomal RNA, 468 nt
Filed under: uncultured bacterium
Lineage: Bacteria
Description: partial 16S ribosomal RNA
Rfam family: Bacterial small subunit ribosomal RNA
Source: RNAcentral